UACGUAGGGGGCAAGCGUUGUCCGGAAUCAUUGGGCGUAAAGCGCGUGUAGGCGGCCUUGUAAGUCCGUUCUGAAAGCCCGGGGCUCAACCCCGGGAGGCGGAUGGAUACUGCAAGGCUCGAGUCCGGAAGAGGCAAGUGGAAUUCCCGGUGUAGCGGUGAAAUGCGCAGAUAUCGGGAGGAACACCAAUGGCGAAGGCAGCUUGCUGGGACGGUACUGACGCUGACAGCGCGAAAGCCAGGGGAGCAAACGGG
This 254-nucleotide ribosomal RNA is filed under the name uncultured bacterium. Its description in RNAcentral is "partial 16S ribosomal RNA". It matches the Rfam family "Bacterial small subunit ribosomal RNA", at positions 524 to 776 of the family's 1533-position model. The record is from RNAcentral.